Molecule: ribosomal RNA, 687 nt
Filed under: uncultured Alphaproteobacteria bacterium
Lineage: Bacteria; Pseudomonadati; Pseudomonadota; Alphaproteobacteria
Description: bacterial SSU rRNA
Rfam family: Bacterial small subunit ribosomal RNA
Source: RNAcentral
AGCGAACGCUGGCGGCAGGCCUAACACAUGCAAGUCGAACGGCUCUUCGGAGCAGUGGCGGACGGGUGAGUAACGCGUGGGAACGUGCCCUUUGGUUCGGAACAACACAGGGAAACUUGUGCUAAUACCGGAUGAGCCCUUCGGGGGAAAGAUUUAUCGCCAUUGGAGCGGCCCGCGUUGGAUUAGGUAGUUGGUGGGGUAAAGGCCCACCAAGCCGACGAUCCAUAGCUGGUCUGAGAGGAUGAUCGGCCACACUGGGACUGAGACACGGCCCAGACUCCUACAGGAGGCAGCAGUGGGGAAUCUUGCGCAAUGGGCGAAAGCCUGACGCAGCCAUGCCGCGUGAAUGAUGAAGGUCUUAGGAUUGUAAAAUUCUUUCACCGGGGAAGAUAAUGACGGUACCCGGAGAAGAAGCCCCGGCUAACUUCGUGCCAGCAGCCGCGGUAAUACGAAGGGGGCUAGCGUUGCUCGGAAUUACUGGGCGUAAAGGGCGCGUAGGCGGACAGUUUAGUCAGAGGUAAAAGCCCAGGGCUCAACCUUGGAACUGCCUUUGAUACUGGCUGUCUUGAGUUCGGGAGAGGUGAGUGGAAUGCCGAGUGUAGAGGUGAAAUUCGUAGAUAUUCGGCGGAACACCAGUGGCGAAGGCGACUCACUGGCCCGAUACUGACGCUGAGGCGCGAAAGCGUG